GAUGAACGCUAGCGGCAGGCUUAACACAUGCAAGUCGAGGGGCAGCGGGAGUAGCAAUACUUGCCGGCGACCGGCGCACGGGUGCGUAACACGUAUGUAAUCUGCCCAUCACAGGAGGAUAGCCCGGAGAAAUUCGGAUUAAUACUCCAUAAUAGAAGAUAAAGCAUUUUAUUUUCUUGAAAGUUCCGACGGUGAUGGAUGAACAUGCGACUGAUUAGUUUGUUGGUGAGGUAACGGCUCACCAAGACUACGAUCAGUAGGGGUACUGAGAGGUUAAACCCCCACACUGGUACUGAGACACGGACCAGACUCCUACGGGAGGCAGCAGUAAGGAAUAUUGGACAAUGGCCGCAAGGCUGAUCCAGCCAUGCCGCGUGAGUGAAGAAGG
This 388-nucleotide ribosomal RNA is filed under the name uncultured bacterium. RNAcentral's name for it is "bacterial SSU rRNA". It matches the Rfam family "Bacterial small subunit ribosomal RNA", at positions 28 to 414 of the family's 1533-position model. The record is from RNAcentral.